Molecule: ribosomal RNA, 869 nt
Filed under: Voloina sp.
Lineage: Eukaryota; Metazoa; Arthropoda; Insecta; Hemiptera; Reduviidae
Description: SSU rRNA
Source: RNAcentral
GACUCUAUUGAGGCCCCRUAAUCGGAAUGAGUACACUUUAAAUCCUUUAACAAGGAUCCAUUGGAGGGCAAGUCUGGUGCCAGCAGCCGCGGUAAUUCCAGCUCCAAUAGCGUAUAUUAAAGUUGUUGCGUUUAAAAAGCUCGUAGUUGGUUCUGCGUGCCGCGCUGUCGGUUCGCCGCCWGUCGGUGUAACUGGCAUGUCGCGGCAUGUCCUGUCGGUGGUGAACGGGGUCCCCGGUGCUGCUAGCGGCUUAACGRCCAAAGUUAGUACCGUGUGUGUUCCCGUUUACCGAUCUCUCCUACUUCGGUGCUCUUAAACGAGUGUCGAGGUAGGCCGACACGUUCACUUUGAACAAAUUAGAGUGCUUAAAGCAGGCUGAAAUAUCUGCCUGAAUAGUGGUGCAUGGAAUGAUAAAAUAGGACCUCGGUUCUAUUUUGUUGGUUUUAGGAAUAUGAGGUAAUGAUCAAUGUGGACAGGCGGGGGCAUUCGUAUUGCGACGUUAGAGGUGAAAUUCUUGGAUCGUCGCAAGACGCACUAGAGCGAAAGCAUUUGCCAAGUAUGUCUUAAUUGAUCAAGAACGAAAGUUAGAGGUUCGAAGGCGAUCAGAUACCGCCCUAGUUCUAACCAUAAACGAUGCCAGCCAGCGAUCCGCCGAUGUUCCUUUAAUGACUCGGCGGGGAGCUUCCACCCGGGAAACCAAAGCUCUUGGGUUCCGGGGGAAGUAUGGUUGCAAAGCUGAAACUUAAAGGAAUUGACGGAAGGGCACCACCAGGAGUGGAGCCUGCGGCUUAAUUUGACUCAACACGGGAAACCUCWCCAGGCCAGGACAUUGGAAGGAUUGACAGAUUGACAGCUCUUUCUUGAUUCAG